RNA transcript from Salvia splendens (bonfire salvia), 1188 nucleotides. It is a transcript of the gene named signal recognition particle SEC65 subunit, with no coding region annotated. The record is from RefSeq and is a predicted model, not a curated record. Lineage: Eukaryota; Viridiplantae; Streptophyta; Magnoliopsida; Lamiales; Lamiaceae. The transcript is spliced from 3 exons.
UCAACGCAAAAGACUACCAAUUCUCUCUGUAAUCUUCUUAGAGUUCCUCUCCAGAUUUCUCAAAUUGCACCGUUGCGCCGCCGCCUGAGGUAAAAUACCAAUUCAUUUUAUCCUUGUUUUUUAAGGACCGAUCAGUGAACAAUCUACGAUUUUAUUAUUGCAUUCUUCAAAAAAUUAUUUCUUUGAUCUUCGAAUUUUUCGUUUUCCGUUCUAUCUCGCGACAUUAAAUCAAUAAGGUGUGAUUAAUAAUAAUUGAGUGGAGUAUCGCGCUGUCGAAAUUUCUGGCAAUUUACACCACAUAGUUGAGAUGAUUUAGAAACCGUUGAACGUGGAUUUGAUUGGUUGAUCUGUUAUUCAGUUGUGUAGAACUCGAUUUUUUAAAUCUACUUAGAUUUUGAUGGGGGAUAUAAAAAGCUCAGAAUCGACAUGCAUUUUAUCCUACAUCAAAGAGGCAUACUAUAUUUAGCAACUGCCGUUGAUCAGUUUGGAUUGUCAUCUAUACAAAAUUGUAAUGGGUAUAUUGAAUUGAUUUACUUUCAUUUAUUUUAUGGCAACAUUAUGGAUGUCGAUUUGUCGAAUAUAAAGAAAUGGGUGAUCGUGUACCCAAUUUACAUAAAUUCGAAAAAAACCCUAGCCGAGGGACGGAGAAUCAAUGCCAGCAAAGCAUGUGAAAAUCCUACAUGCACCGAGGUUUAUGAUUGCUGUGCUCACUUGAAAAUUCCCCGUGUGAUUGAGUGAGAAGGCAUACCCUCGAGAUUUUAUGCAAAGAGGUAGAGUGAGUGAUGUUGAAAAAGGAAGACGGGAGCUUCUACAAUCCAGCUAUUUCUUCGAGGAAGCAACUAAAGCUUCACGUUGCCGAGCUGGUUCGCCGACAUCCGGGUCGGACGAAGAAACAGGAGCCCGCCACGUCUGCUGCCGUCGGUUCUAAAUAUGGAAAGGGUGGAAAGAAGAAGCGGUAGGACGUGGUAUGGCUGUUACGAGACAUUGUUGGAGAUGAUCUUGUACAUCUUAAUGGUGGAUUGUUGAAAUGUGAAUUUGUAGCUGCUCUAACUAAAGUAGUUGUUUAUUAGUACUUUUUUUUUCUAAAAAUAUAUAGUAAUUGUUGCACUUGUACAUUGCCAAUAUUUUGACUUUUGAUAUGUUUCCAAAUAUAUUUAAAUAUUUUGACUUUUGAUAUGUUUCCAAAUA